GACGAACGCUGGCGGCGUGCUUAACACAUGCAAGUCGAACGGAAAGGCCCGGCCUUUGUGCGGUGCUCGAGGUGCGAACGGGGGAGUAACACGUGAGUAACCUGCCACUGACUUUGGGAUAACUUCAGGAAACUGGGGCUAAUACCGGCUAGGAGCUCCUGCUGCAUGGUGGGGGUGGGAAAGUUUCGGCGGUUGGGGGUGGACUCGCGGCCUAUCAGCUUGUUGGAUGGGUAGUGGCUUAGCAAGGCAUGGCCGGGUGGCAGGGCUGGGAGGGUGAGCGGCCACGUUGGGAUGGAGCUGCGACACAGACCAGUACGGGACGCGGCGGAGGAGUAGAGUACACAGUGGGCGGAGGCCUGACGCAGCAACGCCGCGUGGGGGAUGACGGCAUUCGGGUUGUGUUCCGAUUUCGCCUGUGACGAGGCGUGAGUGACGGUAAUGGGUAAAGAAGCUCCGGCUAACUACGUG
RNAcentral lists this ribosomal RNA (468 nucleotides) under uncultured bacterium. RNAcentral's name for it is "partial 16S ribosomal RNA". It matches the Rfam family "Bacterial small subunit ribosomal RNA", at positions 28 to 507 of the family's 1533-position model. The record is from RNAcentral.